Molecule: ribosomal RNA, 506 nt
Filed under: uncultured bacterium
Lineage: Bacteria
Description: partial 16S ribosomal RNA
Rfam family: Bacterial small subunit ribosomal RNA
Source: RNAcentral
AUUGAACGCUGGCGGCAGGCCUAACACAUGCAAGUCGAACGGUAACAGGAAGCAGCUUGCUGCUUCGCUGACGAGUGGCGGACGGGUGAGUAAUGUCUGGGAAACUGCCUGAUGGAGGGGGAUAACUACUGGAAACGGUAGCUAAUACCGCAUAAUGUCGCAAGACCAAAGAGGGGGACCUUCGGGCCUCUUGCCAUCGGAUGUGCCCAGAUGGGAUUAGCUAGUAGGUGGGGUAACGGCUCACCUAGGCGACGAUCCCUAGCUGGUCUGAGAGGAUGACCAGCCACACUGGAACUGAGACACGGUCCAGACUCCUACGGGAGGCAGCAGUGGGGAAUAUUGCACAAUGGGCGCAAGCCUGAUGCAGCCAUGCCGCGUGUAUGAAGAAGGCCUUCGGGUUGUAAAGUACUUUCAGCGGGGAGGAAGGCGAUAAGGUUAAUAACCUUGUCGAUUGACGUUAUCCGCAGAAGAAGCACCGGCUAACUCCGUGCCAGCCGCCGCAGUAA